AAUUACACUGAAGAUAUUAACAAUCAGCGAUGUUAAAAUCAUAUUAGGUCAAUUCCAUCCAAAGUGGCUCAGACCGGUAAAAUACUAUCAUAAUAACUUAUUUAUAAUGAAAACCGCAAAUUUUCCUCCUUGUUGUAGCGUUAAAAAAAAGUAAAAUUGCACAAAAAUGUUGACAUUUACA
Molecule: long non-coding RNA, 181 nt
Organism: Sphaeramia orbicularis (orbiculate cardinalfish)
Lineage: Eukaryota; Metazoa; Chordata; Actinopteri; Kurtiformes; Apogonidae
Exons: 2
Source: RefSeq, a predicted model, not a curated record